GGAGGGGGAUCGGUUCCGGUGGACCGCCCGGUCUUCAAAACCGGUGAGGGGCGCAAGGCGUGCCUGGUGGGUUCGACUCCCGCCCCCUUCCGCCA
RNAcentral lists this transfer RNA (95 nucleotides) under bacterium. RNAcentral's name for it is "tRNA-Sec". It matches the Rfam family "Selenocysteine transfer RNA". The record is from RNAcentral. RNAcentral also lists the same sequence under 1 other name.